UGCUAGCCUUGGCCUCCCAAAGUGCUGGGAUUACAGACGUGAGCCACUGAGCCCGACCAAGGGAUUUCUUAAUUGUACAUUUUAAAAGAACUUAAAGAAUGUCAUUGGAUUGUUUGUAGCUGAAAGGAUAAGUGCUUCAGGGGAUGGAUAUCCCAUUCCCCAUGAUGUGCUUCUUUCACAUUGCAUGCCUGUAUCGAAACAUCUCAUGUAAGGCUGGGCACGGUGGCUCAUGCAUGUAAUUCUAGCACUUUGGGAGGCCAAGGCCAGCGGAUCACUUGAGGCCAGGAGUUCGAGACCAGCCUGCCCAACAUGGUGAAACCCCAUUUCUACUAAAAAUACAAGAAUUAGCUUUACAUGGUGGUGCACACCUGUAGUCCCAGCUACUCAGGGGGCUGAGGCAGGAGAAUUGCUUGAACCCAGGAGUCAGUGGUUGUAGUGAGCCAAGACCACAUUACUGCACUCCAGCCUCGGUGACGGAGCCAGACUCUGUUUCAUAAAAAACAAAAACAACUCAUGUACCCCAUAAAUACAUACACCUACUAUGUAUCUACAAAGAUUAAAAAUUAAAAUUAAAAAUUUUAAAAAAGAAAUCUUAUCCCACCAUGCAAAGCAAAGAACCACUCUAUUCUACAAUUACCAAGCCCAGUAUGAGACUUUAAGCAACAUCUCAUAAAACCCACUGACCGUGGGUCAAAGACCAGACCUCUAGUAGUUGCAAGAGAUAGAUAGAGCUUGUCCAGUUCAGCUAUAAAUCAAUUUUAUUUCCACAGAGGGUCACACAGCCCUUUCAAAAACAACCAUAUUGGAUCAAACACAAAAUUCGUAAAAAAUAUUCCUCCUGUUCCCCCAACCUCAAAAUAUAUGUUGAAGGUCAUAUGGCCAGGGGCAAUGCAGAUUCAAAGCCACUAUUGUGAGCUGCAUUGACUAUACCACCAUGUAAUUCAUAAUGUGUUGAAAAUCAAAUGCUCAUGAUAAAUGAUCAUUGAUUAGGGCCCCUAGUUGUGAGUGUACCUAUAUUUUUUCAUUCUAUAAAAGCAAAUAUUAAAUCAACAUGAAGAGUAAAUAAUUACCCAUAUUAUAUUGAGAGGGUGAAAUUGGUUUAUAUUCCAUAUGGAGUUCAAUUGAUCAUUAUUUUCAUCCUUGACACUUGGGUUUAUCCAUUCUCCAAACCACCACUUUGGAAGAGCAAGUUAAUAUACAAUUACUGCUAAAAAAGGUACAUACCUCCAAUUUUGUGUUGUGUUGACAAUUCCACUUGUUUGUUCUGUCCUUCUGAUUGGGAGUAUUAUUUUCCUAGGUCUGUUUUAACAAAGUUCCAUAAAUUGAGACACUGAAUGAGUCUCAAUAAAUGUGCAUUCUCACAUUUCUAGAGACCAGAAGUCUGAAAUCAAGGUGCGGUCCGAGCCACACUCCCUCUGAAGGCUCAGCCUGGCCAACAUGGUGAAACCCCAUCUCUACUAAACAUACAAAAUUUAUCUGGGCAUGGUGGUGCGCACCUGUAGUCCAAGCUACUUGGGAGACUGAGACAGGAGAAUCACUUGAACCCAGGAGGCAGAGGUUGCAGGGAACAGAUAUUGUGCCACUGCACUCCAGCCUGGAUGACUGAGCAAGACUCCAUCUCAAAAACAAAAACAAAAACAAAUACAAAAACAAAAACAAAAACAAAAACAGAGACUGAUGCUCACAGAUUGUGUAUUCCAGACCACCAAGUUAAUUCAGCAUUGGCAGUGACAUCAUGUUCUUCCAAACAGCAUCCCCUUUCUCCUUCUGGGUACUGAAUUUUUGUAAAUGGCAAAUGAAUUCCUUCAUUAAGCCACAAACAGUGACAUGACAGCUGCAAAUUCAGCCAUCUAUAAGGUUUCCAGAUAAAAGACACAACACCAAUUAAAUGUGAAUUUCAGAUAAAUACUGAAUAAUUUUUUAGUAUCCAUAUGCCCCCAGUGUGACAUGGGGCAUACUGAUACUCAAAAAUCUGUUACUUGGCCAAGUGCAGUGGCUCACACCUGGAAUCCUAGGACUUUGGGAGGCUGAGGUGGGGGGAUUGUUGAUCCCAGGAGUACAAGACCAGCCUAGGCAACAUGGUGAAACCCUGUCUCUACAAAAAUACAAAAAUUAGCUGAGCGAAAUGGUGCACACCUGUAGUCCAACUACUCAGGAGGCUGAGGUGUGGGGAUCGCCUGAGCCCGAAGAGGUAGAGGCUGCAGUGAGCCGUAAUCACACCACUGUACUCCAGCCUGGGCCACAGAGUGAGACCCUGUCUCAAAAAAUAAAAAUAAAAAAGUAGAAUAAAUAUAAUUAAAAUUUAAAACAUUUUAAAAUGUGUUAUCUGAAAUUUAAAUUUAUUACAAUUUUUAUUUGCUAAAUGUGGCCACUCCAAGUGUAUGGAGUAUUUAUUCUACCAUGCAGUUUUUAACACUUGCAUCUCUGCAUCUGCUUCUGUUCCAGGACAGAGAAAAACUAACACAUUUCUGCUGUAUCUAAGAAUAUGUAGAUAUACCUGUGUUUUGAUUCUUUCUGAUUUCAGUACUAAACAUCCCUCAUUAUCAUUCUCAGGGAAAAGAUGAAUGUAGAAUCUCUGCUGAGCUAGUAUUUCCUGACACCCUGUUUAUGUGCCUUGUGAAUUGUGGGCAUUGCCAUGUGGGUUAUUUCAUUUCAUCUUCACAAUCACCCUCCAAAAGUAAAAAACAAAGACUGCCUCACUCAAAUGUCCACUGCCAUCAGUGCCCCAUGAGUAUAUAUACGGUGCCAAGCUCUGCCAUGAUCUCUCCAGAGAAGAGGAGUAAAACCAAAGAAGUGAAGACGUGUCUGACUGGAAGGGAACAUCUGUGACACCUUCUUUUCCAAAUGUUCUUAAAGUUUAAGCAGAUUAUUGUAAAGGAAAUAUGAAAGAGUUAGUACUUAAAAAAAAACCUCCUUGUAUCAAAAUGUCCCAUUCCCAGCCUCUAUUCAAUUUCAAUCUUUUAAAUGUUUGUUUUCAUAUUUACAAUCAUGGU
RNAcentral lists this long non-coding RNA (2993 nucleotides) under Homo sapiens (human). RNAcentral describes it as "non-protein coding lnc-PRKX-10:1". The record is from RNAcentral. Lineage: Eukaryota; Metazoa; Chordata; Mammalia; Primates; Hominidae.